Molecule: non-coding RNA, 721 nt
Organism: Nicotiana tabacum (common tobacco)
Lineage: Eukaryota; Viridiplantae; Streptophyta; Magnoliopsida; Solanales; Solanaceae
Source: RefSeq, a predicted model, not a curated record
UAUACAUACACACUUAAGUGUUAAUUUUAUACUUUAAUAAGAUAACUGAAGAGGCAUAUUCUUUUCAAGUUUAUGUCUUUGUGUGUUUUACGGAGGAUAAGAUAAUUUUCAGCCACAAGUAAAUCACUUCUUUCAAGGAGAAGGUGCAGCCGAAGUACAACCACAACCACAACCACAUUUUAUGGACACUAUGCAGCUGAACUUGAAUUUGAUAAUCCAGGUUAUCCAGUUGAUGGGAAUGUUGACAUGGAUUUUGAGUUGUUUCGGGGGAUGGUAAUCGGAGAAGGCUCUAACAGUGAGAUGGAAGAAUCGAGGAAUCUUUACCAAAUGGUUGGUGGAGAUAGUAACUAUAAUGAAAAUUCGGAUGACGAGUAGUGUACCGGCUAUCCUCCAACUUGAAUCUUACAUUUGGGACAAUGUAAGAUCUUAAGUGUGGGAGAGGUAACAUCUUUUUGUACUCCUUCUCUGGUUUAAAGUAUAUUUUGAAGUCGCUAGAUGCUAGUUUCUUUUUGUUUGUUUGGUGUUGGUCGAUGCUUGGGAAAAAAAAUAUGGACUAUAUAGAGAAGGAUUAAAGGGAAUUUUGUUUUGUUUUUGUCCUGACUAUUUCAUAGAAAGCCUAUAAGCAGUCCAUAAGCUAGUUGCAAAUAAUCGAAUAGUGCAUAUGUUAAUGUACUAAUGCAUGUUUUGCUAAUAUAAUGAUGCAUAUUAUUAUUACUUCUUA